CACCGCGGUUAUACGAGAGACCCAAGUUGAUAGACCCCGGCGUAAAGAGUGGUUAAGAUUUAUUUAUACUUAAAGCCGAACGCCCUCAAAGCAGUUAUACGCACCCGAGGGUAAGAAGCCCAAUCGCGAAAGUGGCUUUAUUACUCCUGACUCCACGAAAGCUAAGGAA
RNAcentral lists this ribosomal RNA (169 nucleotides) under Paralabrax auroguttatus (goldspotted sand bass). Its description in RNAcentral is "partial small subunit ribosomal RNA". Lineage: Eukaryota; Metazoa; Chordata; Actinopteri; Perciformes; Serranidae. The record is from RNAcentral.